GAUGAACGCUGGCGGCGUGCCUAAUACAUGCAAGUCGAGCGAACAGACGAGGAGCUUGCUCCUCUGACGUUAGCGGCGGACGGGUGAGUAACACGUGGAUAACCUACCUAUAAGACUGGGAUAACUUCGGGAAACCGGAGCUAAUACCGGAUAAUAUAUUGAACCGCAUGGUUCAAUAGUGAAAGACGGUUUUGCUGUCACUUAUAGAUGGAUCCGCGCCGCAUUAGCUAGUUGGUAAGGUAACGGCUCACCAAGGCAACGAUGCGUAGCCGACCUGAGAGCAGGAUAGGCCACACUGGAACUGAGACACGGUCCAGCCGCCGCCGGGAGGCAGCAGUGGGGAAUAUUGGACAAUGGGCGAAAGCCUGACCCAGCCAAACCGCGUGGGUGAAGAAGGCCUUCGGGUUGUAAAGCCCUUUUGUUGGGAAAGAAAAGCAGCAUGUUAAACCCCCGCGGUUCUGACGGUACCAAAAGAAAAAGCACCGGCUAACUACGUG
Molecule: ribosomal RNA, 497 nt
Filed under: uncultured bacterium
Lineage: Bacteria
Description: partial 16S ribosomal RNA
Rfam family: Bacterial small subunit ribosomal RNA
Source: RNAcentral